This is a long non-coding RNA of Xiphophorus couchianus (Monterrey platyfish), 616 nucleotides long. RefSeq lists it as uncharacterized. The transcript has 3 exons. The record is from RefSeq and is a predicted model, not a curated record. Lineage: Eukaryota; Metazoa; Chordata; Actinopteri; Cyprinodontiformes; Poeciliidae.
AAACAAAGCAGGAGGAAUACAAGGACCAAAGGUUCAACCUCAGUAUGCAAGCUCAACAGCUUAGACCUCAUGAGAGCAGAAACACGGCAGCCUCCUAGUGCAGAGUAAACUCAAAGCGUGUGCAGAGGGCCAGGCCAAACUGGACUGGCAUCCUGUUACAACCCCACCCUGAGCUCUUCAUCCUCCUCCACCUCUGACUGCUGCAGCCAUCUUUUCUGUCCCUCACACUUGACACUAAACUGAAAAUGUAGGAUUAAACGGACGGAGAUGGGCUCGUUCUUUGACUGUAUGUAUUUAACUUUAACUUAAGCACUAUUUGAAUGAUUGCUUCUGGGUCUCUGUGGAGGACAAUGCUGUCAAAGCUGUUUUUCAACAUGAGUUUGUGCGAGAGCUGGAGGCUUUAUUUUGAUCUGUUAAUGUUAACAGGCGCGAACUUGAAGCCUGUCAGCAAGUGUUGGGAUCUCUGUGAAGUCUAGCGUUCCACCUCUUUCAAUGCUGAUCAAUGUGCAAAGGCAGCUGUUGCGCAGUGGAAAUUGACAUUUCUGUUUAUGCAUUGAUGUCAAAUGAAUAUGUCUUAUACUGUAUUGACAGUCUAAUAAAUAUAUUUGAACAUAAA